RNAcentral lists this ribosomal RNA (804 nucleotides) under uncultured bacterium. RNAcentral describes it as "bacterial SSU rRNA". It matches the Rfam family "Bacterial small subunit ribosomal RNA", at positions 1 to 776 of the family's 1533-position model. The record is from RNAcentral.
CCCUUUAAGUUUGAUCAUGGCUCAGAGUGAACGCUGGCGGCAGGCCUAACACAUGCGAAGUCGAACGGCGGCACAGUAAGAGCUUGCUCUUAUGGGUGGCGAGUGGCGGACGGGUGAGGAAUACGUCGGAAUCUGCCUUUUUGUGGGGGAUAACGUAGGGAAACUUACGCUAAUACCGCAUACGACCUACGGGUGAAAGCGGAGGACCUUCGGGCUUCGGGCAGAAAGAUGAUGCCGACGUCGGAUUAGCUAGUUGGAGGGGUAAUGGCCCACCAAGGCGACGAUCCGUAGCUGGUCUGAGAGGAUGAUCAGCCACACUGGGACUGAGACACGGCCCAGACUCCUACGGGAGGCAGCAGUGGGGAAUAUUGGACAAUGGGCGCAAGCCUGAUCCAGCCAUGCCGCGUGUGUGAAGAAGGCCUUCGGGUUGUAAAGCACUUUUGUACGGGAAGAAAAGCAACUGGUUAAUACCCGGUUGUUCUGACGGUACCGUAAGAAUAAGCACCGGCUAACUUCGUGCCAGCAGCCCGCGGUAAUACGAAGGGUGCAAGCGUUACUCGGGAAUUACUGGGCGUAAAAGCGUGCGUAGGUGGUUGUAGGUCUGAUGUGAAAAGGCCCUGGGCUCAACCUGGGGAAUGGGCAUUGGGAUUACUGGGCAGUCUAGAGUGUNGGGANAAGGGUUACGGAAUUCCCGGGUGUAACAGUGAAAUGGGUAGGAUAUCGGGAAGGGAACAUUCCGUGGGCGAAAGAGGGUUACCUUGGAACAAACACUGGACCAUUGGAGGGCACCGAAAAGCGGUUGGG